GGGCGGGGAGAGCGGCGCCGCCGCGCUUCGGGAAUACCGACAGCACGUAACACCCGCCCGCCCCCGAGACGAGAGAACGCGAGCGGCGCCGUCCGAUUGGACAGCAGCAAGGAGGAGGGCUGAGCACUGCGAGGCAGUGAUUGGUUGCUCCGGCACGGGGCGGGGAGGAGAGCGCGAGGAUUGGAGGAGAGGGCUGUCGGUUUGGACAAGCCCCGCCCCCGGCUGAGGGGGUGGGCGGGAAGCGCGGUCCUCGGUGUCCCCUCAGCGGGAGCUGGGGCGCUCGGCUCCCCGCCCUACAGGAUGUCUUGGAGCCCCUCUGCAGGCUGAGCAGCCCCCAGCUGGCACGGGAGCUGAGGGGAUGGCAGGGGGCUGCGGUUGGGGUGUCCCUGCCGGGGCCGAGGUGAUGGCAGAGUCAUCUAACGUGACACAUACGGCGCUCCUAGGAGUGGGUCCAGCGGAGGGCAACAAGGAUGACUGGGGAAUUGGAGCAUCUCUGCUAUGAGGAAAGGCUGAGGAAGGUGGUCCUGCUUAGCCUCGAGAAGAGAUAACUGAGAGGGGACCUCAUUAAUGUGUUUAAAUACUUAAAAUGGAGUGCCAAGAGGGUGAAGCUAGGCUCAGGUCAGUGGUGCCAACCACAAGGACAACAGGCAAUAGGCAGAAAGCAAUGCCCAGGAAGUUUUACCUUAAUAUAAGGAAGAACUUCUUUCCUGUGCAAUGAUUGCUCACUGGCCCAGAGAGGUUGUGGAGUCUCUCUCACUGGAGAUACUCCAGAACUGUCUGGACACAAUCCUGUGCCAUGUGCUCUGGGAUGACCCUACUUCAGCAGGAAAAUGGGGCAAGAUGACCCACCAUGGACCCUUUCAACCUGACCCAUUCUUUGGUUUGGUGACAGAUGUCAUCUCUGCAUCCUCCUGACAGCCAGGAACCCUUCCCCUGGCUUGUCGCAGUGCCCAAGCAGCUCCAGGUGACAUCCCUCUCAUCAGCAUGUCCCAUGGCUGCAGGCAUAUGGCUCCUCAGGCCGCUCAGCGGUGUGGCCAUCCUGUCCCCUCGGGAUACCACAGAGUGGCUGUGGGUCAGGCCAGCAGUGCCUGGCUGGGAGCAGGAGGGAGCCCUGGGGAGCAGCACGAGGCAGAGCCCAGAGCUGGAAUCUCACCCUCCACAUGUGAGAUGUGGCAACCAGUGGGGCACAUCCCUUCAUCAGAAUGGCUCCCUGUUAUUAUGUGCUGCUGCCGCGUCCAGCGCUGCGGCUGGGAUCCCUGGUUAGUCUGGAUUCCAUUGUUUAAGGGCAAGCAGAACAAAAUGUCUCUCCUUGUCCUGAAGGAGGCUGCAAUCAUCAACGUGAUUUGCCUAGAUUUAAAGUUUAGGCGUUUGCCCAAGAGCCUCUGUGGCUGAGAAGUUGAGGCUUAUAUGGGAGGAACUGUUCCCAAGGCUGAUAUGCAAAGCUUGGAUGAAAGCCUGGGAGUCCUUGCUCUCUGCCAGGCUUUGAUGCCCAGACUCCUUGCCUGUAAUCUGCCAUCUAUGCAGACAAUAUCAGAGCUAUCAAAUAAUUCCACCACAAUGUGAGCCUUGGGAAGAAAAAAAAAAAAAAAAAAAAAGAGUCUGCUAGGAAAAGUACACAGAAAUGUCCUUGGAUAAAACUGAAAAAUUGGAUCAAGCCAAAUGCAUUGUUAUGAUUUUUGCUUACCAGGUUAAGCUUACACAGACUUUGGACUGGGAAAACAUUUUGUAUUGGUACAGUGAAACCAUCACAGGACAUACCAGGAGUCACCAGGAAACAGCACGGUUUAUAGGCUGCUCUUACAGCUUAUUAGGAAAGAGCCCGCUAAAUAUUUGAUAUUUACAAGCUAUGAUGCUGAAAUACCAAAGGCAUUUGAAGAAUCCAGCCCAGUUCUCACACCUCUCAUGCCCCAGCACAUGGCUGACAGACAUGUGGAUGCUCUGCUUCCAUCUCUAGGUAAAGGACAAACGAUCCCUGUGUGUGUGUGGGAGGAGACUCUGUUAUCUGCUGUGAUUCACUCUGGUGCAAUCCAUUGGCCAUGGUGGGGUGUGACCAAGGUGCUUUGAUACACAUGGAUUCUGCUCAUCCCAGACUCACAUCCUAUGGAUUUCUCUAUGGCCGUGGCCACCUCACCUCUGCUCCAUGAGCCUCAGCCACAUCCCUGCCCUGUGCUCUUCCUGACCUAAGCCUUUCCUGAGGCCGCUCCCCAGUGCCGCCACCACUUCCUCAACUUUUGCUGGCUCAGGGCACUGUCUUAUCAGUCUGGGAUAUUUUUAUCAGUCUGUGCUCUGCAGUUACGUCUGGGCCUCACCUCUGCUCUCCUGGAGAGGUGUGCCUGGCUGGCCAGGGCUAUGGCAGCUGUGCUCUGAGAGUUAGCACCAACAGAGAUGCCUCGUCUUGCCUCCUCUCUGCUUUGAGGACAGAGAUAAAGCAGCAGUGGAGAAACAAGGUGAGAUAAAUGCAGGAGGGACAAAACUCAGUGAGGUGAAGUGAGGUAGAUCCUAUAAUGCAUUUGGUGAGCCUUCAAAUCCUAUGUCUUAUCCCAGGGGAAUCCCAGAUGCACAAGCCCUGCAAACUACAUCAUCAGCAUCUUCCUCUGGAAAGCAUCAUCACACUAAUUCAUUUGUCAUGGCAGCCAAAUGAUUAAAGUUUUAAAACUAAAUUACACACGUUGCUGUAACAGCAUAAACACAGUAAUGGUUCUCCUCUGUUACACCUGUCGCCUCUGCUGUAAUGGCCUUAAUGAGCUUUCAGCCUCAUCAUCCAAAAAAAAGAGAUUAUCACACGUCACUUUAUGCUGUUACUGCGUUCUUGGAGCUGUGAGUGGGAUGUAAUGCCCUGCACCAAGGAGCUGUGCGUGAGUGCCUUCCCCAGAACCAGGGGCAGGUCCAGGCUAGGGAGCUCCCAAAAUGGGGCAGGGGGUGCAGACACCACAGCAGUGCCAGCUGUAGCAUGCAGGCAGCUGGAAACCCUGUGAGGGGAAUGGGUACCUAUCCCCAUUGCAUAGGAUUAUUCCAUGGUGUGGAGUUAUUCCAAGCUUGCGUCUUCUCAGCUUAAUAACAGGCUGUGAGGUGCACUUUGACCUGCUUGUGUUUUUCACUUGUUCCAUAUUUAACUGAACUCAUCAUCAUAAAGGCCAGGAACUGUUUCACUUUCUGUGCCAGGCUGGGUUUCCUGUUGGAUGUGCAAAGGACACACCUGCACGGUGAGUUUCUGGCCUGCCAGCACUGGGAAUUCUGUUAUUGAAAAAAGGGAGCCCAGGAAUCUGGAGUUGGUGGAUUCCUUUCCCAGAAAAUGUGGCUAGACCUGAAAAUCCAGCUGCCUGGCUUUUUUUGUUUACUGGUUUCCAUGUUUGCUUCAGUGUGCCCUGGGAAUGUGCAGCAGAACUCUCCGCUUCAUUCUGUGAGGUCUCUGGGUGGAACUGGAUCUUGUUUGCCCCUUCCAGAAUCUGCAGACUUGGAAUCUGCUUUGCCUCAGGGCUUGUUGUGUUUAUCAAGCUUUAUCCUGUGUCUGUAUCCCAACUUCCAUCCCUUCAGUGUUGUGCUGGACAAGAGAAUUGCUGGUUGUGGCACUGACUGUCCCACUGACUGCAACCCCACAAAUGCUGCUGUUACCCCAAAUACAUCAGAAGCAACCGUAAGUCUGUGGUUCCUCCUUGACACAGCAACCUCUAAUUGGGGAUCCCAGGUGACAGAGGUGAAAGAAACUGUCCCUGCUGGCACUGGGAUUCUGCCUCGGGUUAAUCACACACUGCACAUCUGGCACUCAUUUGCAGGUGAUACCCACUUCAUUCCCCCACUCAAAACAUGGGCUGGAAGCUGUGCUCCUCAGUCUCAGGAAGCUUCUUAUCAGGUGCUUUCAAGCAAGACAUAGAAUCUUAAAUGCUUCAGUUUUCACACUGACCUGACCACCCUUCUGCUGACAAUACUUGCUGGCAACAAUCUCUCACAUGACAACAGGAAAAAAACCCACAAAAGAUCCCCAGAAGGAUGCUUUGCCAAAACAGGCUUGACAAACUUUAAAUUUGUGCUGGAGGAAGUAGAGGUUAUUUGGGCGAGUGUGCAGGGCAUAUCAGUCUGUCCCUUGGAGGGGAUCUGCUCCCAGAACUGCGAUGCAGUGAUGGCAGUGCACUGUACUUGUGGGAAACUGACAUAUGUAAAAAAAAAAACCAA
Molecule: long non-coding RNA, 4170 nt
Organism: Vidua chalybeata
Lineage: Eukaryota; Metazoa; Chordata; Aves; Passeriformes; Viduidae
Exons: 3
Source: RefSeq, a predicted model, not a curated record